GAUGAACGCUGGCGGCGUGCCUAAUACAUGCAAGUCGAGCGAACUGACUAGAAGCUUGCUCCUCUUAUGUUAGCGGCGGACGGGUGAGUAACACGUGGAUAACCUACCUAUAAGACUGGGAUAACUUCGGGAAACCGGAGCUAAUACCGGAUAAUAUUUUGAACCGCAUGGUUCAAAAGUGAAAGACGGUCUUGCUGUCACUUAUAGAUUGAUCCGCGCUGCAUUAGCUAGUUGGUAAGGUAACGGCUUACCAAGGCAACGAUGCAUAGCCGACCUGAGAGGGGGAUCGGCCACACUGGAACUGAGACACGGUCCAGACUCCUACGGGAGGCAGAAGUAGGGAAUCUUCCGAAAGGGGCGAAAGCCUGACGGAGCAACGCCGCGGGAGUGAUGAAGGUCUUCGGAUCUUAAAACUCUGUUAUUAGGGAAGAACAGAUGUGUAAGUAACUGUGCACAUCGUGACGGUACCUAAUCAGAAAGCCACGGCUAACUACGUG
Molecule: ribosomal RNA, 497 nt
Filed under: uncultured bacterium
Lineage: Bacteria
Description: partial 16S ribosomal RNA
Rfam family: Bacterial small subunit ribosomal RNA
Source: RNAcentral